GAUCCACCCCCAAAGGGAAAUGCCAACAGAAGAGCUUCUAUUUCUUGAAAGGAAAAAUGGAUUCCUUUUAGAGUCUAAUAAGCAGGAAUCUGGGCAGCUCUGGCUCUAUCCUACUAUGCAUUGUGAUGUUGGGGUAAGAUUUAAACUAUCAAAAUCCUAAAAUCAUCAUCCCAGAAAGGCAAACCUGGGGUGAAGUGUGACUGUUUAUCUCUUUAACUUGAAGACAUUUCAAGACACCUUCAUCCAUAUUUUCUUUUCUUUUUAAAUCCAUAUUUUCUUAAUCCCCAUAGUUUUCUUCCUCCUGGAAGCUAGGACUAAAGGAGACACUCUACUGGAAGAGUAACUACCCGGAGAGCGAAGGGACUGAGCAGGAACGAAGCGAAGAACUCGGGCCUGGCCAGGGAUGCUCCCGGUCUCUGCCUCCGGCGGGGAGCGCCCGGCAGAGCCGGACCAAGGCAGGAAGCAGGUUUCCAGCCGGAGCUGAGCCCGCUUCUUCCAAAGCCCUGUGGCUGCGCACCCCUGACGCUGCCUGAGUCCGGUCGGUGGCAGGUGCGGCGGGGGAGUCCCCGAAGGAGAAGGGGGCGGAGGGCAAAGGUCAAAGCCAGGCUUCCGGCGGGCCGGGGAGCCCACACCCAGGGCAGGAGGGAGGGGUUAGGGCGGGCCGGGGCCGAACUGAGCCCCCAAGGGCGGAACCGCGCCGACGGAGAGCAAACCCUCUGUUGUCUAAUCGAGAACCAGAUUAAGAGCCAAGGAGGAAAAAAAGGCAAGAAGGCGUUCUUCAGAUUGGAAGGAUCUAACUCAACACCCCAGUCUCCUGGCCAGUGGCCAAGGACACUGGUUCUUUUCAAGGCACCUUUCUACCUCUGGACCACCUCAGCCCUUGGAUUUAUGCGGUUGCUAGAAAGGUCUAGAAAGUCAAAGGUGAGGAAAAUGGCGCAGGGGGGAUGGCACUGGCCGGACUGCAGCGUUUGCCUGCACUUGCCUCGAAUCACGUCACGAUUUUGCCCCUCACAGAUACAGAUACCCAUGCCGUCGAGUCUGAAGGCAGAAAGGGGUGCCCAGAUACUUCACUCAGUAACAUAGCAGACACUCGACCUUGAACACAGGUUUUCUACCGCUUGCGCCUUGGGGGCAGUCAACAAGGAGACAAACAGUUGGCAUAAGCUCCGAAAUUCCGAGUCUCCCCUGGCCCUCCCUUAAAUUUCCCUGACGCGCCAUUUCCCCUGAGCAGGCUCCCGGGUCAGUCACACACGCCUUGGUCAGCUUUGCGUCUACAGUCUGUCAUGGCCGGCUCUCUUUUCCCUGCAGGUCAGGAAGAGGCAUCCUGCAGCCAGUGAGGAAAUAGCCGGUUCAGAGUCCUCCACGGGGACAAGGACACAAUGUGAGCAGACUUCUAUUCGUUUUCAGGGUGAUGGGCCCAAGGGCCAGGGGCCCCAGACAAAUAAGGGGAGCGGGCUUGAAGGGUCCUGCACCUCCUGCCAGGGCAGGCCCACUGGAAGGAGGUGGGGAGCAAAUGCAGGGCUCCCACUGUGAAGCCAGGGCCUUGGGCAGGGCUGGGUGCCCGUGCCCAGUAAAGACAGAAGCAGAACAGAGUGUGAGAUGUGAGCCAGCUGAUGGCUUGACGCUGUCAGGACCUGGAGCAGGCAGAAAGAAGCCGGAUCUGCCUAUCUAGGAAAACUUUGCAGCCAGCAUCCAGGUUUGCUACAUCAGCCGCUUCACCCAAGUCACUGCCAGCUCAUAAAGUGCUUGCCAGACUCACUGGCUUUCCUCUCUACGAUGAUGCUGUUUUAUUAAACGUUGUUGAAGCUGGGGGAGGGCAGGGGGGGUCGCCGCAAGGUUGAGGGGAAGAAGCAGAGAGAGACAAGUCAGGGUGAAUUCCAUGUUACUGUUAUUUUCAAAAGGAGGCUUUCUCAGUUUUGCUUCCCUCAAGGCUGUCCCAAAAUUUGCUUAGGUGCAGGAUGGGUAGGCCCUGAUCAUAUGCAAGGUUGGAUUUAAAUGUACUGGAACUCUGUGUCUGUAUGUGUAUAGUCUUGAAGGAUCAAACAUACAGUUAACCCGCGUAAGUAUUCAUUAUAUCAGAGCAGAAACGUGGCCAACAGGUUCUAAGGAGGGCUGGUGUUCACAGUGUUUGGAGAUAUAUGUGAGAAGAUUGUGUUUUGCUUUAUGCAUACAUAUUUGCUUUGGCUGGUAAUCCUUCUGGAAGCCUGACCGUUUUGACUACGUCAGCGUGGAUCGCCUUGGGGGGUGGGAAGAAGUAUGCCAAGUUGCAAAGUGCGCUUAUGUUUUAAAAGGUGCUUCUCCCCAUGGCUGCCCUGCCAGGGGAUGGUAGGUUGUUUUCUGGAUACACUUCCUGUUUUUCCGGCUGACCCAAGUUCUCAGACAAUCCAGGGUGGGUCAGCAUCAGCUGGGCGGGGGGCGUCCCUGGGGGUCUCUGCACCUCAAGGUGGUGUCAUGGGUACAAGUUCUCCCCCAGGAGGGCCCAUCUGAGGGUCCCAGGCAAACAAAGCUGCCACUCCCAGGAGACCACUGCAGCCAGGCCCUGGGGCCUCCCUCCCCACUCCCCCCAGGACAGAUCAGGUCACCAAGUCCCCACCCACUGAUGCACCAGGUUCUCUCUGGGCCCACACUGAGCCAACAGGAUAAAAACCACCGCCUCCAGAUACCAACCUGGAUUAGACAGGCCUGGCCACAAAAGCCAGUGGAGAAAUUCAAGACCCUCUCCUCAAAAAUUCAGACAGGAGGGCCACCUGGAAGACGAACCUCAGGGACCCUCUGGGAUAGGGCUGCUUCUGGAAGCCCACUCCUGGGGUGGGGGCAGGGAGGGGUCCCACGAGCCGGUUGCUAACCUCUGAGCUGUGCACACUGGCCGGCUCCUGAGAACCUAAGCCGGAUCGUCAGUGACCCCUCGCCUCCCCCCCACCCCCCAUUUCCUGCGCUGGGAUCUCCCGCUGUUAGUCGAGCGUUUCCUGUGCCAGAGGGACUUCUGAAACCGCAAGCGGAAAUCGGGUGCCCGGCGGGGGAACGCAGAGGCGUUUCAGCGUCGCCUACGUUUCUGGCCCCUGGCAGCCAAGACCCCCGCGACCCGCCGGCUUCUCGGCCGGCGCCGCGACGUGUGGGGAACGACAAUUACACCCGAAAGGAAUCAACAACCACUCGCGGGGCCACGACUCGCAUCGCUCCGCACGCGCAGGUUCGGGCCCAGCUUUCAGCAACACCCACCCCAUCCGCUCCCGAUCGCUAAGCACUCGCUCGCCAUUUGUGGACUGCGAUGGAGCUGCGCUC
RNAcentral lists this long non-coding RNA (3282 nucleotides) under Cervus hanglu yarkandensis (Yarkand deer). Its description in RNAcentral is "lncRNA (ENSCHYG00000024397.1)". The record is from RNAcentral. Lineage: Eukaryota; Metazoa; Chordata; Mammalia; Artiodactyla; Cervidae.